GGCGGCAGGGCCGCAGCAGAGAGCCGAGGCUGAGGGGCCAGCGAUGCUCGGCGGGUGGAGCGGCGGCAUGCGGCGGUGUCGGGGCGCGGGGCUGGCGGCGCUGGCCGCGGUGCUGCUCGCGGCUGUGGCCAAAGCCCAGGUGCAGCAGGAGCCAUUCGUAGAGACUACCGAGGGCACCAGCAUCAAUAUCAACUGCUCACAUCCUACCAAACAGCUCGGCGAUUGGAUCCAUUUCUAUCGUCAGCUCCCGGGCCGAGGACCCGAACUCGUCGCACUCACUGCUAGAGGGUCCAAAGAGCUGCCGGACAUUUCAGGAGAGCUGAGGGUGUCGGAGGACGGGCGGAGCAGCGCGCUGUGGCUGCGGCGGCCCCGGCGCGGGGACGCGGCCGUGUAUUACUGCGCGCUGGGCGCACGGGCAGAGGAGCCGGGGCUGCGGCCGGGCACGAACCGCCGCGGGCGGGGCCGGGCGGGGCCGGGGGCGCAGCGCCGGCCGCGGCCAGCACGGGGCGCUGCCGCUCCGCCCGCCGGGCCCGGGCUGGGGGGGAGCUCCCGACACCGGCACCGCAAUCGGCACUGACACCGGAACCGACACCGGAACCGGCAACUGAACUAGCUGUGGGUUGGUGAUUGUUCUGUCUGUCUGUCUGUGCUGACUCACACACCUCUCCAGGUUUGAAAUUCCUUACCUGACACUGAGAGACCCUUUCCUUUCCCAGCAGAGAGGGACUCCUUCUUACCAACAGAACAUUGUAAGAUUUCAUGACGGAUCAAUACUAAUGAAAUCCAUGCAGUUAAUUCCUUCAGAGGGAAACUAUUGUCUCAGUCUGAGACUAAAUUUUGAUUGAGCCAUACCAAAGCUGCAUCAGGUGUUGAGAAAGCGAGGGAUGAACUCUGAAUGUUGGGAGUCAAAG
Molecule: non-coding RNA, 911 nt
Organism: Prinia subflava (tawny-flanked prinia)
Lineage: Eukaryota; Metazoa; Chordata; Aves; Passeriformes; Cisticolidae
Source: the annotation of a RefSeq genome assembly